CAGAUUUUAGCAAGGCAACCUUAAUAAAUUGAAAUAUUACUAUGGUAUUGCUAUACCCUACAUAUUCGAUAGCCUAAAAGCAGUAUUUAAUGCCAAAGCUAAAAUCCCUUAGCACUUAUCGCUCAGAUUGUAAAAAAUUUCAUACAAAUGCAAAUACACAAAAAAAGGAGUUUCUCUUUCUUUAGCUUCUCAAUUUCUUCAAUUAGAAAAAGCGAAGAUCUUG
Molecule: unclassified non-coding RNA, 223 nt
Filed under: Hevea brasiliensis (rubber tree)
Lineage: Eukaryota; Viridiplantae; Streptophyta; Magnoliopsida; Malpighiales; Euphorbiaceae
Source: RNAcentral